UACGUAGGUGGCGAACGUUGUCCGGAUUCACUGGGCGUAAAGCGCGCGCAGGCGGACUGAUAAGUCAGAGGUGAAAUCUCCCGGCUCAACUGGGAGGGGCCCUUUGAUACUGUCAGUCUUGAGGCACCUAGAGGAGAGUGGAAUUCCCGGUGUAGUGGUGGAAUGCGUAGAUAUCGGGAGGAACACCAGUGGCGAAAGCGACUCUCUGGGGGUGACCUGACGCUGAGGCGCGAAAGCGUGGGGAGCAAACGGGAUUAGAUACCCCGGUAGUCCACGCCGUAAACGAUGAGUACUAGCUGUCUGGGGUAUCGACUCCCUGGGUAGCGAAGCUAACGCGAUAAGUACUCCGCCUGGGGACUACGACCGCAAGGUUA
This 374-nucleotide ribosomal RNA is filed under the name uncultured prokaryote. RNAcentral describes it as "bacterial SSU rRNA". It matches the Rfam family "Bacterial small subunit ribosomal RNA", at positions 524 to 896 of the family's 1533-position model. The record is from RNAcentral.